AUGAUCCCAAACAGUUCCUCUCGCCAAAAGAAUGGCUUGGCUUGGAGAAAUUGGGAAGCUGCAGAUGCCACCAGCAACGAGCCCAGGAGCAUUUUUGAUUACGAACCUGGAAAGUCAUCCAUCCUUGAUAAUCCUACUCUGGCUCAGAAGUCCUUCCCGCCAUCUUCAGCACGGUGCCCAUCGCCCUCUCUGC
Long non-coding RNA from Protobothrops mucrosquamatus (brown spotted pit viper), 193 nucleotides. RefSeq lists it as uncharacterized. The transcript has 3 exons. Lineage: Eukaryota; Metazoa; Chordata; Lepidosauria; Squamata; Viperidae. The record is from RefSeq and is a predicted model, not a curated record.